UACGAAGGGGGCUAGCGUUGUUCGGAUUCACUGGGCGUAAAGGGCACGUAGGCGGCUCGGCAAAUCGGUCGUGGAAUCCCGACGCUUACCGUCGGAACGGCGGCCGAAAAUACCGGGCUCGAGGGCGUGAGGGGUCACUGGAACUCCUGGUGAAGCGGUGAAAUGCGUAGAUAUCAGGAGGAACGCCGGAGGCGAAAGCGAGUGACUGGCGCGUUCCUGACGCUGAGGUGCGAAAGCUAGGGGAGCAAACAGG
Molecule: ribosomal RNA, 253 nt
Filed under: uncultured bacterium
Lineage: Bacteria
Description: partial 16S ribosomal RNA
Rfam family: Bacterial small subunit ribosomal RNA
Source: RNAcentral